UUUUAAAUUGCUGUGGUAUUUUGACUAUACAAAGGUAUUGAAAUAAGGCUUUUAUUGGGUGCUAAGAGAAUGGUUGAACAAGGAUUAACUUUCUUCUAAUUUUUAAUGGAAUUUGAUUUAAAAGUGAAGAGGCUUUUAUUAAUUUUUGGGACAAGAAGACCCUAUGAAUUUUUUUUAUGAAUUUAUUUAUUAUUCGUAAUUAAGAGAAUAAAAUAUUUUUAUAAGUUAAUUGGGGUGAUUUUUAAAUAUUGUUUAACUUUAAAAAAGAAGAAUUGGAACCAUAAUGAUUGGUUAAUUGAUUAAAAUACUCUAGGGAUAACAGCGUAAUUAUUUUGGAUAGUUCAUAUAGAUAAAAUAGUUUGCGACCUCGAUGUUGGAUUAAGAUACUUAUGUAAUGAAGUAGUUAC
RNAcentral lists this ribosomal RNA (407 nucleotides) under Alectorobius hasei. RNAcentral describes it as "partial large subunit ribosomal RNA". The record is from RNAcentral. Lineage: Eukaryota; Metazoa; Arthropoda; Arachnida; Ixodida; Argasidae.